This is a long non-coding RNA of Equus asinus (donkey), 1588 nucleotides long. The record is from Ensembl. Lineage: Eukaryota; Metazoa; Chordata; Mammalia; Perissodactyla; Equidae.
GGAGGCACUUGAUAAACUCGCCUGAGCCAGGUGUGGGGGUGGAAGCAGCAUUCCAUUGCAGCAACGUCUGCUCCCAGAUCAGACUCAGCUGGGGUUCCAGAGGGGAGAUGCUGAAAACGGGGAAGGAAAAGGAGCAAUCUAAAACCAGAGUGCCUCUGGUGCUGGUGGGAGGAGAAUAUCCCAAGGAGCCGGAGCCCUUCCUGAGAUGAAGAGCCAGGCGCCCCUUGGGGACCCCGAGAAAGAGCAACAAGUAGUCCCCUCCGCCGCAGAGCUAUCAGGAGAGUCUGUAUCUGAAGAAGGAAGACAGCUGGGGUUCCAGUCCCUGGAGCCGUCUGCCUCCCACAUAGGGACGGAUAACAGAGGGGCCCUGAAGUCAACCAGCCACAGCAGGCUUUCAACAAAAACUUUAUCAGCACCACCACCGCGGCCAUAGGUGAGCUGGCACGCGCCAGAACAGCAGCUAAGGAAAACAGCGCCAGAAGCUGGUCCCGCCUGCUUUGGAGUGGAGCUUCCUCUCCCCCUUGUGGUUACAACUGUUCUGAUCUUCGGGAAUGGGUCAUUGGCAGCGGUGGUGUUUUAUCCUACCUUGAGCUCUCUGCUCCUUACACAACCUCCCUGACUCAUCGAUCCGCUCUCGCCGACCUGCCUACCUUCUUGUAUCAGUGCCCCCCGCCCCCUGCUCCCCCGUUCAUCCUUCUGCUCCUUUUAAAAGGUGCUUCAGUGUACAUGGAUCCAGCACGCUUCACUUGUGCAACUAUUUACUUUUCUGUAUCUCCUGAACGCAUUUUUAAUUCCAUUUAUUUACUCCCGAUUUCUUUCAGAAAACAACAUGAAAUAAAAGUAAUAACUGAGGGAAACAGGAUGGAGGGAAAAAGGAGCAAUGCAUUUAUGUUUAUAAUCUUUUUCUCCGCAUCGAUACGCAUCCUACUAUAAAUUCAUUACGCGUGUUUUCAUGUGUCCAGCCCUGUGGUGGAUGCUACGCGGGAUGCACAAGAUGUACAGAGCCUAGCCCCUGUGCUCAUGGAGGUUUUCGUCUCAUGGGAAAGGCAUUAAUAAAGUCUUCCAUCUGUGUCACUGAAGAGGGAUCAGCAUUUCCUUGAUAUGAAGGAGGAAACUGAGCCUUAGAGGGUUGAAGGACCUGAGGAGACAGCAGGGGGAUUGGGGCUCAAGUUCCAGUGUCCUGACUCCAGGUUUCGUGUUCUUCCCACUCUGCCGUUAUUCUCAUCCAGCUUCCUCUGCAGACACUUCAUAGAGCUGUGACACGGGAAGCAGCGUGGCAGUGCCUCAUCGACUGGCCGUGACAAGGAGAAUUGACUCUCAGGAUAAGGAAAUCAAUGAGGGCUGAGGAGAACGGCAAGGAAGGAGAGUAGAAGAUGGAGCUGGAGGAAACUGUAGGACUUGGCCAGAGGCCUAUCGAGGGAGAGCCUUCCAGACUCCGCGGGUCCUUGUGUGUGUCGUCCAAAGGGCCACAGAAAAGCCACCAGACACUGUGUUUUCAAGAGCUUAUUAUGGAAGCAGUGAGAACGAGGUAAAUGUAUUCUCCCUCUAUCUCUGUAUAUGCAAAUACAAAUAUAUACAUAUGUAUACG